This 253-nucleotide ribosomal RNA is filed under the name uncultured bacterium. RNAcentral describes it as "partial 16S ribosomal RNA". It matches the Rfam family "Bacterial small subunit ribosomal RNA", at positions 524 to 776 of the family's 1533-position model. The record is from RNAcentral.
UACGUAGGGUGCAAGCGUUAAUCGGAAUUACUGGGCGUAAAGCGUGCGCAGGCGGUUAUGCAAGACAGAUGUGAAAUCCCCGGGCUCAACCUGGGAACUGCAUUUGUGACUGCAUGGCUAGAGUGCGGCAGAGGGGGAUGGAAUUCCGCGUGUAGCAGUGAGAUGCGUAGAUAUGCGGAGGAACACCGAUGGCGAAGGCAAUCCCCUGGGCCUGCACUGACGCUCAUGCACGAAAGCGUGGGGAGCAAACAGG